GCAGCGGUAUGGUCUGGGGAGAGGAGGCUCACAGUACGUGAAUUCCGAGGGCUGAUGAAAUGGCUCUGGCCCUCUGGAUCUCUCCAUGCCAUGAACGAAUAAACGGGCAUGGGGGCAGGGCGGCGAAAUCAAACUCCAGUGUUCUCCGACAGACCAGUUCCUUCCUGAGCGCUACACAGAUUGAUUACCAGUUCCUUGAGAUUGGACCAUUCUGCUUGGGGACCAUGAACUCUUUUCUGGGCUGUUUUGAUCCACUUUGCAUCCUUUCACUGCUCCUGGGCACUUCUUCACGUCAGUGGAAAUAAAAGGAAAUGAAACCAAAACAAUGAUUUGACAUUCCGAGGGAAAAGGCACAGAAUGGGAGGAAGCUGAAGUGACCGCGAACAUUCGUUCGCUCCUCAGUGAUUGACCUUUGUCAUCCCCGCGCUGCUGACAGGGACCCGGAGCCAACAAGGUGGUGUUCGCCCCAACCAAACCUUUUAGUAAGGCCAAUGUGGAGGUCAUUCAAAACCUGGUUGGGACCCCAGGUGUUUACACAAGAGAAAUGAAAACAUAUGGUCACACAGAAACCCAGACGUGGAUGUUUAUAGCAGCUUUGUUCAUCAUUGCCAGAAUCUGAGGACAGUCCCCACCCUUCUCCUGGCGAAGGGACAAGCCAACCAUAGUGGCCCACACAGUCUCCUCACUGACUCCUCAGUCGGAAUCAUACAUGAUAAGAAGGAACCCACGCAACAGCUUGGGUGGACCUCAGAAGCAUUGUGCUCCGUGAGAGCAUCCAGACUCGAAAGGCCACGUGCCUUGUGAUUCCACUUCUGUGGACUCUCUGGAUAAAGGCAAAAGGAGAACAGAUCGGGGUGGCCAGGGGCUGUGGGGAGGAGCUGACCACAAAGGGACAAAGAUGGGAAUUUUCGGGGGAUGAUGGAGCGUUCUUUAUAUUGACGGUGGUCGGUGGUUGCGGUUACACAUUUGUCAAAACCCAGAGAACUACACCAAAGAGAGUGCAUUUUACUGCCUGUGAAUUUAAAAAUAAAUUUUUGAAAGUUAAGAGAAGAAAAAAAAAAACCAUCAUUGUUUCCAAAUAAAGGAAGAAGAAAGUUGUGAUACAUCCAAAUUUAGGGAUUUUUAAACAAAUCAUAUUUCGUCAUUUUGGAGUUUUUUUAUUGGAGAGGGGAAGGAACUAGGAGUCGGAGCAUCUUACGAAGCUUUGGUGGGUAGCCAGGCACAGGCCGGGGACGCGAGUGUGUUUCCUCAUUUAACCCUAACAAAUUUGGGAGGGCAGAUUACUAUCCCCCCUUUACAGAUGAAUAAACUGAGGCUCAGAGAAGUGACUUACCCCCGAGUCAAAAGGAAGAUAACAGAGCAGGGAUUGGAACCCAGGCCUGCAGAGUCCUGAGGGUAUUAUGGGAUAACGGGUUCGCGCUUGCUUCUGUUUGCCAGGCUUUUCGUAAGGUUAUGUGGCUUCACAAUAAAAAGUUACUUAUUUCCCUCUGACAACUCGUAGCUCAUAAAAGAGUUGCUCCUGUUGUGGCCUGGGAAGUAGUUUUCUUCUGCUGGUGCUUGCCUGGUUUCUUGAUUCAGCUAUGCGUUUCCGGAGGCCAAUGCUGGAUGGUUGCAAGCAGCCACCCUUUUCUCUCACAGUUUCUGGGGCUUAGGAGUCAAGGCUCAAGGUGUCAGCAGGGCCACACUCCCAUGGAAGGUUCUGGGGAAGAAUCCUUCCUCUCCCCUUCCAGCUCGCCUGCAGGUGUUCCUUGGCCUGAGGCCGUUCCCCGUGGGGGGGGCCCCCCCCCCCGCAUCUGCCACAUCUUCACAGUGCCAUCUUUCUUGUCUCUCCGUGAGUCC
This is a long non-coding RNA of Zalophus californianus (California sea lion), 1839 nucleotides long. NCBI's taxonomy places the organism in Eukaryota, Metazoa, Chordata, Mammalia, Carnivora, Otariidae. The record is from Ensembl.